AAAAAAAAGAUGACACAGUAAUAAAAAAAAUAUUGAAAUAGGAAAACAUUGUAAUAUAUACACUGAUAUACAUGUAGAAAAUAUCUGACGAUGUUGGUGUUUACUCUAGUGUUUACUUAUGUAUGAGGAAACAAAUAUAAUUUAACACAAAGAAAACGGUGUAGGUCGUGACUAAUUAGACACGCCCUCUUAAGUCAGCGGGUCCAUAACAGGAUAGGAAAAAAGCC
Molecule: long non-coding RNA, 227 nt
Filed under: Mytilus galloprovincialis (Mediterranean mussel)
Lineage: Eukaryota; Metazoa; Mollusca; Bivalvia; Mytilida; Mytilidae
Source: RNAcentral